UAGCAGAUAUUGGCUGUAAAUCUAAACUCGUUCUACUCCACUAGUCAUCAUAUAAUGACAUUUACUAGAAGAAGAGACUAUUGGGGUAAAACGAGUUCAGAUUUACAGCCAAUAUUGUU
Solanum lycopersicum (tomato) is the source of this 119-nucleotide non-coding RNA. The record is from RefSeq and is marked provisional. Lineage: Eukaryota; Viridiplantae; Streptophyta; Magnoliopsida; Solanales; Solanaceae.